UGAUAUGAAUAGCAGGCUGUGGACUGAGGAACAAUGGAUCAGUGCCAUGACCGAAGGAUCACAGCAGUCUGUAAUAGAACUAUGGUAUGUGUCUAUAAACCAGGCUGUUCUAAAUGUGUCUGUUCCACUAUAAACCAGGCUGUUCCUCUAUAAACCAGGCUGUUCCACUAUAAACCAGGCUGUUCCACUAUAAACCAGGCUGUUCUAAAUGUGUGUUCCUCUAUAAACCAGACUGUUCUAAAUGUGUCUGUUCCUCUAUAAACCAGGCUGUUCUAAAUGUGUCUGUUCCUCUAUAAAUCCGGCUGUUCCUCUAUAAACCAGACUGUUCUAAAUGUGUCUGUUCCUCUAUAAACCAGGCUGUUCCUCUAUAAACCAGGCUGUGCCUCUAUAAACCAGGCUGUUCUAAAUGUGUGUUCCUCUAUAAACCAGGCUGUUCUAAAUGUGUCUGUUCCUCUAUAAACCAGGCUGUUCCAAAUGUGUCUGUUCCUCUAUAAACCAGACUGUUCUAAAUGUGUCUGUUCCUCUAUAAACCAGGCUGUUAUUAAAUGUGUCUGUUCCUCUAUAAACCAGGCUGUUCUAAAUGUGUCUGUUCCUCUAUAAACCAGGCUGUUAUUAAAUGUGUCUGUUCCUCUAUAAACCAGACUGUUCUAAAUGUGUCUGUGCCUCUAUAAACCAGGCUGUACCUCUAUAAACCAGACUGUUCUAAAUGUGUCUGUUCCUCUAUAAACCAGGCUGUUCCUCUAUAAACCAGGCUGUUCUAAAUGUGUCGGUUCCUCUAUAAACCAGGCUGUUCCUC
Molecule: long non-coding RNA, 796 nt
Filed under: Salmo salar (Atlantic salmon)
Lineage: Eukaryota; Metazoa; Chordata; Actinopteri; Salmoniformes; Salmonidae
Description: lncRNA (ENSSSAG00000096945.1)
Source: RNAcentral